Molecule: long non-coding RNA, 3908 nt
Filed under: Malus domestica (apple)
Lineage: Eukaryota; Viridiplantae; Streptophyta; Magnoliopsida; Rosales; Rosaceae
Description: long non-coding RNA (MDOM_LNC002363)
Source: RNAcentral
AGGGCUUUCAUUGAUAUCUAUCAACUGCGACAAUAGAAACACAAAUUCUUAUCAUGGGAAAGCCGAAAACCAAAUGCAGUAUAAACAUCAUGCCGAAAAACUAGACUCUCGAAUUCAAGAAUCAUUGAUAUUUCGUAGUCGACAUGAUUGGUGUUAGAACCUACCCUACGUCUUCUACGAUUGUACACAGAGAUCAACAACAAUACAAUUUCAUUCACACUUAUCUUCCUUUACAAGCCUCUAUUAGUACUAACCUUUUCACUUCUAACCGACUUCUCCCUCUAACAAGCUCUAACUAAUUAAUAUCCACCGUACACUUGUCAAUCAUAUUUGUUUUGUUGACAUGUUGAACAGCAAGCUACCAUAUCCUUCACAAACUUCUUCAUCCCUUCCUAAUAAAAACACCUAGAAAUCCGCUUAUAGGUCUUUAAAAAACCCUCAUUACCAGCCGUAGGUGUAGCAUGAUUUUCAUAGAACACUUUGUUUCUCCAGUGAGUAGUGGGGCUAAGCACAAUGCGGUUCUUGUAUUUAAGAAGACCAUUAUCUACAUGAAACUUCAAUGUAGCCACUGUGAUAGAACCGUCAUCCAUAGACAGGAGACUUCGGAUUUUUGUUAUUAUCCAAGGAUCCUUCUCCAUAUCUCUGCGCAAAUCAUCCAGCCACUGAGAAUAAGGGUAAGAAAUAGCCAACACUUCCAUUUCUGCAAGCUGGUGAUCAACAAAAUUGGUAAUAUUCAAGGGAGAUCGUGAUAAGGCAUUUGCUGCUUGGUUAUUACAGCCUUGUUUAUAUUGAAUUUCGUAAUCGAACCCGAGAAGUUUGGUAACCCAUUUCUGUUGUAUUGGAGUAUGGGCCCUGCCUUGAAGGAAAUAUUUCAAACUGUGGUGAUCAGUUUGAAUAAUGAAGUGAUUGCCCACUAAGUAGGACUGCCAUUUGUGAACAACAUGUAAGAUGGCUAACAUCUCUCUUUCAUAUGCAGAUAGCGUUUAAUUCCUCAAACAAAGGACUUUAGUUAUGAAAGCAAUUGGUUUGCCUCCCUGUUGAAGCACCGCGCCAAUACCAUGACCCGAAGCAUCAGUUUCAAUCACAAAAGGCCUAGUAAAAUCUGGUAAAGCGAGGACUUGAGGAGAUAACAUUGCAUUCUUGAGAGUAUUAAAAGCUGUGGUAGCUGCAUCCGACCAAUGAAAACUGUCCUUUCGUGUGAGAGCAGUCAAUGGACUUACGAUCUUGCCAAAAUGAGGAAUAAAUUUCCUAUAGUACCCCGUUAAUCCCAAAAACCCUCGCAAAGCUUUCACUGAUUUGGGAAUAGGCCACUGAGCUAUAGAAUCCAGUUUAGUAGGGUCAGCCGAUACCCCAUCCUUGGAUACAAUAUGCCCGAGAUAUUCUACUUGUGAUUGACCAAAUGCACACUUCGAUUGUUUCACAAAUAGGUGGUGCUCCUUUAAUGUCUCAAAGACUAUUUUUAAUUGAUCCAAAUGCAGUUGCCAAGAAGGGCUAUAGACCAAUAUAUCAUCGAAGAAAACAAGAAUAAACUUUCUCAAAUAUGGUCGAAAGAUGUCAUUCAUAAGGCAUUGGAAAGUAGCAGGAGCGUUGGUCAAACCAAAUGGCAUUACUAAGAACUCGUAUGACUAUCAUGUGUCCUAAAAGCUGUCUUUUCAACAUCAUCAGGAUACAUUCUAAUCUGGUGAUAACCUGCCCUCAAGUCUAACUUGGAAAAGUAUUGUGCCCCAAAUAACUCAUCCAACAGUUCAUCAAUAAGAGGAAUAGGGAACUUAUCUUUAAUGGUGAUGCAAUUAAGGCCUCUAUAGUCCAUGCACAUGCGCCAAGUUCCCUCUUUUUUCCUUACUAAGAUAACAGGAGAAGAAUAUGGGCUGUUGCUCACUCGUAUAAAUCCUGCCUCCAAUAAUUCAGCAACACAUUUCUCGAUCUCAGCCUUUUGAACCGGGCCAUAUCGAUAAGGUCGAAUGUUUGGAGGUUUGCUGCCAUGGAUUAGUGGAAUUCUAUGGUCCUAAAUUCUGUGGGGUGGCAAGAACUUGGGAGUUUGAAAUAAUGUCGCAUAGUCUUCCAAUAAGUUAUGCAACUGUUGUUGUUGAAACAGUGUAAGAUUCUGACUAUCUUUGUCCUUCUGUGCAGUAGCUAAUUGGAAUGACCCCACUUCCUCAGUUUUAAUAUGGAACAAGACUGCUCCCACCGUUGACUCCUGAUGAAGUAGCUUUUGCAUUUGGAAAGCAGAAAUAUCCUGAAGAUUUUCCUUAGAUGCCUCCGAACUAGUGAUACAAAAUGUCUGAGAAUGUUUUGUGAACUGCAUGUACAAUUUAUCGAAAUCCCACAAUAUAGGUCCUAAGGUACGCAACCAUUGCACCCCAAGUACAACAUCACAUCCUCCCAAGGCUAUAGCAUAUAGAUCCGAGACACACUUGAAACCCUAAAUUGUAAUAGGAAUUUGAGAUAAAGUUCCUUGAGUGGCAAUCUUACCCUCAUCUGCAAUCUUCACAUUAAAAACAUGUUUGGUGUCCAAUGAACCUUUUAAUCGCUUAACCAAUCCCACAUCUAUGAAAUUAUGAGAACUACCGGAAUCGAUCAAAAUGGUAGCAGGGCAAUUCUUAAUAAACCCUGUAACUUUCAUGGUCUGAAGUGAUGGAGGUGCAGGGACCCCAAACAAAGCACAGGCAGUGAUUUCUGGUUCCUCAUCUUCUGUCAACAUUAUCCCCUGAUUCAGAGUCUUGGACAUCUAUCAACAAUAAUUGUUUCCUUUCACAGCUAUGUCCCCGAACAUAUUUCUCUUUACAAUGGAAACAUAAACCAUUUUUCCGACAGUAAUCGACUUCCUCAGGAGUUAACCUUCUCACAUUAAUUGGCUUAGCAGGAUUCGCAACAGGACUAUUGGAAUUAACAUUCUGAAAUGGAAUUCGAAAAUUUGAUUGCACAAGAGAAGCUUUAGUACCCGAUUUCGCCUUCAACUCCGUGAGCUUGGCAUCAAUUUGAUGGGCAAAAGCGGCAGCCUCCAAUACAUCCCUGGGCUUUAACAGUUUAACAUCAUGGCGUCGUUUCGGUCGAAGACCCCCAAUAAAGCAAGAUUUGAGUAAAGAAGGGCUGAUAUCCAGUGUGCGAUUUGCCAACCUUCGAAAUUCCAUGACAUAAUCUCUGAGAGUGCCUGAUUGUCGUAAUUUGACCAAGUUUUCGGCCGAAUCUUCAAGUUCUGAGGGACCAAAUUCUUGGCACAAUGCUGCCGUGAAAUCCUUCCAAUUGGGAAAAUUCGUCAAACACCUCGCCCAUUGGAACUAUUGCAAAGCUUCACCUUCCAUGUGAAAGGACGCCAAUUUCACCUUCCUGGAUUCGUCAAUGUUGAAAAAAUCGAACUAAUGCUCAGCCUUGUAGAUCCACCCUAAUGGAUCGUCACCUUCAUUGAAUCUUGGAAACUCCAACUUCAACAACGGUGAUCGAUGUAGCUGAUUGAAAUUAUGCCCAAAUUCGUGAUGAACUGGGUUAGGGUUCCUGCGAUCUUAAAACUGAUUUUCGCCCAAGGUUGUUCUGAAGAAUCCCCCAAGGAUCCACCAUUACCCCUGGCCAUAAGAGCUUGUAGUUGCUCCAUAAUCAGCUCUAAAUUCGCCUGAACCUUCUCUUGCGCUUGCUGCACGUCUUCAAUCUUCGUCUCCAGACUCGAUACGCGGGACUCCAUAUUCUUGCGCGACCCUUGCCGCGACAUACAACGUCAAAGGAUUGAGAGGAUCGAACUGGCUGAUACCAAAUGUUAGAACCUACCCUACGUCUUCUACGAUUGUACACAGAGAUCAACAACAAUACAAUUUCAUUCACACUUAUCUUCCUUUACAAGCCUCUAUUAGUACUAACCUUUUCACUUCUAACCGACUUCUCCCUCUAACAAGCUCUAACUAAUUAAUAUCCACCGU